Molecule: ribosomal RNA, 253 nt
Filed under: uncultured bacterium
Lineage: Bacteria
Description: partial 16S ribosomal RNA
Rfam family: Bacterial small subunit ribosomal RNA
Source: RNAcentral
UACGGAGGGGGCUAGCGUUGUUCGGAAUUACUGGGCGUAAAGCGCACGUAGGCGGCUUUGUAAGUUAGAGGUGAAAGCCCAGGGCUCAACCCUGGAAUUGCCUUUAAGACUGCAUCGCUUGAACAUCGGAGAGGUAAGUGGAAUUCCGAGUGUAGAGGUGAAAUUCGUAGAUAUUCGGAAGAACACCAGUGGCGAAGGCGGCUUACUGGACGAUUGUUGACGCUGAGGUGCGAAAGCGUGGGGAGCAAACCGG